This 602-nucleotide ribosomal RNA is filed under the name Salmonella enterica subsp. enterica serovar Give. RNAcentral describes it as "partial 23S ribosomal RNA". It matches the Rfam family "Bacterial large subunit ribosomal RNA", at positions 1 to 642 of the family's 2925-position model. The record is from RNAcentral. Lineage: Bacteria; Pseudomonadati; Pseudomonadota; Gammaproteobacteria; Enterobacterales; Enterobacteriaceae.
GGUUAAGCGACUAAGCGUACACGGUGGAUGCCCUGGCAGUCAGAGGCGAUGAAGGACGUGCUAAUCUGCGAUAAGCGCCGGUAAGGUGAUAUGAACCGUUAUAACCGGCGAUUUCCGAAUGGGGAAACCCAGUGUGACUCGUCACACUAUCAUUAACUGAAUCCAUAGGUUAAUGAGGCGAACCGGGGGAACUGAAACAUCUAAGUACCCCGAGGAAAAGAAAUCAACCGAGAUUCCCCCAGUAGCGGCGAGCGAACGGGGAGGAGCCCAGAGCCUGAAUCAGCAUGUGUGUUAGUGGAAGCGUCUGGAAAGGCGCGCGAUACAGGGUGACAGCCCCGUACACAAAAGCGCAUGUGCUGUGAGCUCGAUGAGUAGGGCGGGACACGUGGUAUCCUGUCUGAAUAUGGGGGGACCAUCCUCCAAGGCUAAAUACUCCUGACUGACCGAUAGUGAACCAGUACCGUGAGGGAAAGGCGAAAAGAACCCCGGCGAGGGGAGUGAAAAAGAACCUGAAACCGUGUACGUACAAGCAGUGGGAGCACCCUUUUGGGUGUGACUGCGUACCUUUUGUAUAAUGGGUCAGCGACUUAUAUUCUGUAGCA